RNAcentral lists this unclassified non-coding RNA (561 nucleotides) under Hevea brasiliensis (rubber tree). The record is from RNAcentral. Lineage: Eukaryota; Viridiplantae; Streptophyta; Magnoliopsida; Malpighiales; Euphorbiaceae.
GGACCCAAGAGAGGAACCAAGGUAUGUUCAGUACUAGUACCAUUUUCUUCAACCAAGUAAUCAUGGUUCCACCUUAAACAAAUAGUUAUACUACAAAUCAUAAAGUGCUGCCACCAAUUAUGAUAUACCUAUAUAUUUAACGUACAGGUAUUAGGUAACUUGCACCAUGCAAUAAUCAACGAUGAUUUCCCAAUUGACAAAAUCAAACAUAAUUCUCAUAACAGGGGAAAAAAAGGCCUUCACUUUCCUGGAUCACUGAAAAAGGAAGAAAAAAAAAAGCUUGAAACAAUAGAUCAAGUACCGGGCAGUGCUUGAAUCAUAUAGUUUCUAUAUAUUCAGCACCAGGGAGUUGACCAAGUAACCUCAAGUAGAAGAGGUUAGAAUUUGGAAUCCUCAUCCCUGACAUAAAUGAAAAGAAAUAGUUCUAUAUACCAACCGAUUCUAAAUCAUUUGAGUUUGCUUAGCAGAGUAGGGAACAAAGAUUUAAAAUAAAUAGAGAUCUUAAUUUCAAAUAUCCAUGUAGAAUAAAGUUUAAUUGUUAAGAAGAAGAAGAAGAAGAAG